GAGUUUGCAUUCUGGCUCAGAAUAAACGCUGGCGGCGUGCUUAACACAUGCAAGUCGAGCGAGAAAGCUCCUUCGGGAGUGAGUACAGCGGCGGACGGGUGAGUAAUACGUAAGAAUCUGCCCUUCAGUGAAGAAUACCCUUGAGAAAUCGAGGUUAAUACUGCAUACGUCCCUUCGGGGAGAAAGAUGGCCUCUUUGCUGUUGCUGAAGGAUGAGCUUACGCGCUAUUAGUUUGUUGGUAAGGUAAAGGCUUACCAAGACGAUGAUGGCUAGCCGGCCUGAGAGGGUGUACGGCCACACUGGAACUUAGAUACGGUCCAGACUCCUACGGGAGGCAGCAGUGAGGAAUAUUGCGCAAUGGGCGAAAGCCUGACGCAGCGACGCCGCGUGGGGGAUGAAGGUCUUCGGAUCGUAAACUCCUGUUAAGCGGGAAGAAAUGCCUAACUUUAAUAUAGUUAGGUAAUGACGGUACCGCUAAAGAAAGCACCGGCUAACUUCGUGCCAGCAGCCGCGGUAAUACGAGGGGUGCAAGCGUUAUUCGGAAUCAUUGGGCGUAAAGGGUGUGCAGACGGUACACUAAGUUAUCUGUUAAAUUCUCCGGCCUAACCGGAGCUCAGCAGAUAAAACUGUUGUACUAGAGGAUGGAAGAGAGAAGUGGAAUUCUCGGAGUAGCGGUAAAAUGCGUAGAUCUCGAGAGGAACACCGAUGGCGAAGGCAGCUUCUUGGUCCAUUCCUGACGUUCAUACACGAAAGCGUGGGGAGCAAACAGGAUUAGAUACCCUGGUAGUCCACGCUGUAAACGAUGAUCACUAGACGUUAGUUUCGUUUUUUCGAAAUUAGUGUCGUAGCUAACGCGAUAAGUGAUCCGCCUGGGGAGUACGGUCGCAAGACUAAAACUCAAAGGAAUUGACGGGGGCCCGCACAAGCGGUGGAACAUGUGGUUUAAUUCGAUACUACGCGAGGAACCUUACCUAGACUUGACAUGUUUUUGACAACUGUAGAAAUACAGCCUUCUGAACUUCGGUUCAGACAAUUGCACAGGUGCUGCAUGGCUGUCGUCAGCUCGUGUCGUGAGAUGUCGGGUUAAGUCCUUUAACGAGCGCAACCCCUGUUGUUAGUUGCUAUCUGUUUACAGAGCACUCUAACGGGACUGCCUGGGAAACCAGGAGGAAGGAGGGGACGACGUCAAGUCAUCAUGGUCCUUAUGUCUAGGGCUACACACGUGUUACAAUGGUCAGUACAAUGGGUUGCAAUUCUGCGAAGAGGAGCUAAUCCCAAAAAGCUGAUCUAAGUUCGGAUUGAGGUCUGCAAUUUGACCUCAUGAAGUUGAAAUCGCUAGUAAUCGCGUAUCAGCAACGACGCGGUGAAUACGUUCUCGGGCCUUGAACACACCGCCCGUCACACCACGAAAGUUGCUUAUACCCAAAGUCAUUUUAGCUAACCCGUAAGGGGGGCGGAUGCCUAAGGUAUGGGUGAGGAUUGGGGUGAAGUCGUAACAAGGUAACC
RNAcentral lists this ribosomal RNA (1506 nucleotides) under uncultured bacterium. RNAcentral describes it as "bacterial SSU rRNA". It matches the Rfam family "Bacterial small subunit ribosomal RNA". The record is from RNAcentral.